CUGGAGCCCUUAUCAGGCAUGAGGUCACACAGACAGAGAGAGCCACAAGGGUAACAACUUUCAUGGCUCCAGUAAACACAGUAGCUCGGUGUUACCAGGAUAUUUCUCACUUGCUUGCCUUUAACUUGACCUAGGAUACAGAGCUAGAUUUGAAAUCUGAUGGCUGCAGAUGUGCAGAGCUGAAAGACUUCUUUUAUAAACCCACUGCAACCUUCA
Long non-coding RNA from Pseudopipra pipra, 216 nucleotides. RefSeq lists it as uncharacterized. The transcript has 2 exons. The record is from RefSeq and is a predicted model, not a curated record. Lineage: Eukaryota; Metazoa; Chordata; Aves; Passeriformes; Pipridae.